Molecule: ribosomal RNA, 433 nt
Filed under: uncultured bacterium
Lineage: Bacteria
Description: partial 16S ribosomal RNA
Rfam family: Bacterial small subunit ribosomal RNA
Source: RNAcentral
AACGAACGCUGGCGGCAUGCCUAACACAUGCAAGUCGAACGAUGCUUUCGGGCAUAGUGGCGCACGGGUGUGUAACGCGUGGGAAUCUGCCCUUGGGUUCGGAAUAACAGUGAGAAAUUGCUGCUAAUACCGGAUGAUGUCUUCGGACCAAAGAUUUAUCGCCCAGGGAUGAGCCCGCGUAGGAUUAGCUAGUUGGUGGGGUAAUGGCCUACCAAGGCGACGAUCCUUAGCUGGUCUGAGAGGAUGAUCAGCCACACUGGGACUGAGACACGGCCCAGACUCCUACGGGAGGCAGCAGUGGGGAAUAUUGGACAAUGGGCGCAAGCCUGAUCCAGCAAUGCCGCGUGAGUGAUGAAGGCCUUAGGGUUGUAAAGCUCUUUUACCCGGGAUGAUAAUGACAGUACCGGGAGAAUAAGCUCCGGCUAACUCCGUG